This 252-nucleotide ribosomal RNA is filed under the name uncultured prokaryote. RNAcentral describes it as "partial 16S ribosomal RNA". It matches the Rfam family "Bacterial small subunit ribosomal RNA", at positions 523 to 774 of the family's 1533-position model. The record is from RNAcentral.
AUACGGAGGGAGCUAGCGUUGUUCGGAAUUACUGGGCGUAAAGCGCACGUAGGCGGCUUUGUAAGUUAGAGGUGAAAGCCCGGGGCUCAACUCCGGAACUGCCUUUAAGACUGCAUCGCUUGAAUCCAGGAGAGGUGAGUGGAAUUCCGAGUGUAGAGGUGAAAUUCGUAGAUAUUCGGAAGAACACCAGUGGCGAAGGCGGCUCACUGGACUGGUAUUGACGCUGAGGUGCGAAAGCGUGGGGAGCAAACA